This 433-nucleotide ribosomal RNA is filed under the name uncultured bacterium. RNAcentral describes it as "partial 16S ribosomal RNA". It matches the Rfam family "Bacterial small subunit ribosomal RNA", at positions 29 to 507 of the family's 1533-position model. The record is from RNAcentral.
AACGAACGCUGGCGGCAUGCCUAACACAUGCAAGUCGAACGAGACCUUCGGGUCUAGUGGCGCACGGGUGCGUAACGCGUGGGAACCCGCCCUUAGGUUCGGAAUAACUCCCCGAAAGGGGUGCUAAUACCGGAUAAUGUCUUCGGACCAAAGAUUUAUCGCCUUUGGAUGGGCCCGCGUUGGAUUAGCUAGAUGGUAGGGUAAAAGCCUACCAAGGCGACGAUCCAUAGCUGGUCUGAGAGGAUGAUCAGCCACACUGGGACUGAGACACGGCCCAGACUCCUACGGGAGGCAGCAGUGGGGAAUAUUGGACAAUGGGCGAAAGCCUGAUCCAGCAAUGCCGCGUGAGUGAUGAAGGCCUUAGGGUUGUAAAGCUCUUUUACCCGGGAUGAUAAUGACAGUACCGGGAGAAUAAGCUCCGGCUAACUCCGUG